AUUGAACGCUGGCGGCAGGCCUAACACAUGCAAGUCGAGCGGAUGAAGGGAGCUUGCUUCUGGAUUCAGCGGCGGACGGGUGAGUAAUGCCUAGGAAUCUGCCUGGUAGUGGGGGAUAACGUCCGGAAACGGGCGCUAAUACCGCAUACGUCCUGAGGGAGCAAGUGGGGGAUCUUCGGACCUCACGCUAUCAGAUGAGCCUAGGUCGGAUUUGCUAGUUGGUGGGGUAAAGGCCUACUAAGGCGACGAUCCGUAACUGGUCUGAGAGGAUGAUCAGUCACACUAGAACUGAGACACGGUCCAGACUCCUACGGGAGGCAGCAGAGGGGAAUAUUGGACAAUGGGCGAAAACCUGAUCCAGCCAUGCCGCGUGUGUGAAGAAGAUCUUCGGAUUGUAAAGCACUUUAAGUUGGGAGGAAGGGCAGUAAGUUAAUACCUUGCUGUUUUGACGUUACCAACAGAAUAAGCACCGGCUAACUUCGUG
RNAcentral lists this ribosomal RNA (484 nucleotides) under uncultured bacterium. RNAcentral's name for it is "partial 16S ribosomal RNA". It matches the Rfam family "Bacterial small subunit ribosomal RNA", at positions 30 to 507 of the family's 1533-position model. The record is from RNAcentral.